RNAcentral lists this long non-coding RNA (429 nucleotides) under Gallus gallus (chicken). The record is from RNAcentral. Lineage: Eukaryota; Metazoa; Chordata; Aves; Galliformes; Phasianidae.
GGCAUUUUAGCUUCUUUAAGCAGCUCCCUGAGGACUGGAGUCUGUGAUAAAUUCUGCAUCACUGCGUUGAAGAAACAUGUAUUCCCCAGGUUACUAAGUCCUUUCACAGUCACUUCAGAGCUGGUACUGGAAUGAGAACUCUCUUUCAGCAAAACUUCUUUUUGUUGCUCAUUUCUGCUGUCUUUUUCUACCUUUUUAUUUCCAACGUCUUUGUUCUCUUGUUGCUUUUCUAAAUGUGAUGAGUUGACACAAACUUGUUUUUUAAUAUAAUCCACAGUCUGGCCCAAACGUGUUGAAGUACUGUAUGGAACUUCAUUAUCACAUAUGUAGCACCACACACUCCAGUUGUCCAAACUGAGAACCAAACAAUGGGGAUCUGAUCUUGGCGUUGUGUAAUGCUUUAAAGCAUGCUGCUCUUGAGAAUUUCUG